Cyprinus carpio (common carp) is the source of this 1577-nucleotide long non-coding RNA. The record is from Ensembl. NCBI's taxonomy places the organism in Eukaryota, Metazoa, Chordata, Actinopteri, Cypriniformes, Cyprinidae.
GGAUUGCAAAAGCUUACACUGUGACUUGUGUUCAAAUCCAGGCGAUUUUGCGAUUUUUGCAAGCGCUUGCCAGGUUUGUGUGCAUCAGACGGUCAGUGAAUGGACUGUGGGCGGUCCGUGGGCGAGACUAGAACACAAAUAACCUUCAAUCACGCUAGCAAAGUUAAAGCACACUUCGGGUUUGAAGAGAAUUACGGUCCCAUAAUGCCUGAGGAUAUGAAGGUUGGGCAUGCCAGUUAGCGUUCCUGUGUGGUUAAGGGUAACAGCUAAGCACGUGCCAAGGCAUGGCGGCAUACGACAGCAGUGGCCCGUGCGUGGGGGUGUGGCGUGGCACUCGGAGCGACACGGCGUCAGAUGGAGGAGCCGCUCUCCAUUAGACGAGAGCUCCCCGGGGAACCGCCGCAGCUGACAAGCUGUAAGAAGUGUCUGCUAAUUAUGAAAGUCCAAAUUCAAACCGCUUUGAAGAUGGCAAGCUCAGAGAGUCUCAACAGGAGUCGUGCGCUAACCUUUCGUCUUGCUCAAAACGGGGGCCUUCUCUCGCUCUACGCCCACCAAGAGCAGACUCGUAAAUCUACAGUCAGGAAGAGAGGUUCAGUGUUCCAAUGUGUCCCACGAGGCCUCCAGCAAAUCACAUAGCUCAGUAAAAUCAGCACGAACCAGAGAAACUUCUGGAAAUCUCAUCAGCGAGGCGCACGACCGUCAAUCAAAUUCACAAAUCGGAGGGGUUUGUGACCUUAGAUUUGCGGGGAGUCGCUCUGGGCUGAUCGAAUUAGCUAUCGGUCUAUUGAAUGCAGGGAUAUUUUGGCAUGUUUGAAAAUCUUAAUACUUUAUUGCUCUUGAGAGGAACAAACCCCCUGAACCUCAUAGACUUUUCAUGCCUGAUAGAUGUAAUACUCCAAAAGCUCUGCAAUUUAUUCCAGUGAAAACAUAUUGAAACCGCUAUGUGUUGGUUAAAACCAAAAUGUGCGCAAAGAAAGAGCGAAACUCCUAUAUGUCCCAUUAGUGGUGACUGAGUGAUGUGUGGCUGUGUUUUGUGCUGUCCCACACACACAUACUGUAUGUGUUUUUUUUUUCUCCCAUGGGUGCAGCAAUGGAGUCCCAACAGUAUGGUUCUCAUAAUUGUUCACAACCUACCUUGAAAUCAUUUUAAUUUGGGGCCACUUUCACACUCGCACAGCUAAACAAAACACACUCACACCCUUAUUGUACAUCAUUUAGAUGAGCAGAGAUAGAGUGAUAUAUUGGUAUGAUUUUGAUAUUUUGUGGUAAAUUUAUCCAGCUUACACUGAACAGGAUAACACCAUCUGUGAUUCACUUAUGAGAGUGACGAGGAAGCACAAAGAAAAGCUAAAUUAAAGAGUGGGAAAUGCAUCUCAAAUAAGACAUGACAGUGUGGCUCAUCCGAUCAGAAUUUUGAGUGUACACUAUCCCACUUAUAAUAUUAAUUUAACAGCAUUUAAAUACAUACAUACAUGAAUGAAUGAAUGCUAUUAAUAAUCUAAUCUUUUGGUUUGUGCAAUUAAAUAAUCAGAAAAUAAUAGAAUAAAAUAACAUUAUAAUAUAUACGUUAUACUAUA